UGUCCUCUAAAUAGGGACCUGUAUGAACGGCUAAAUGAGUAUUUAACUGUCUCUUUUAACCAAUCAGUGAAACUGAUUUUCCAGUACAAAAGCUGGAAUAUUAUUAUAAGACGAGAAGACCCUGUGGAGCUUUAAAUUUUACCAACGUACGAUUAUUAAACAUACGCAUGCUAACAAAUUUUAAGUUGGGGCAACUUUGGAGAAAAACAAAACCUCCAAGAAAAAGUGAUAUCUAAAUAAGAUAAACAAAUCAAAACAAACAUUGACCCAGUAAAACUGAUUAACGAACCAAGUUACCCCAGGGAUAACAGCGCUAUCUUCUUCAAGAGUUCAUAUCGACAAGAAGGUUUACGACCUCGAUGUUGGAUCAGGACACCCAAAUGGUGUAGCAGCUAUUAAAGGUUCGUUUGUUCAACGAUUAACAGU
This 426-nucleotide ribosomal RNA is filed under the name Anolis alutaceus. Its description in RNAcentral is "partial 16S ribosomal RNA". It matches the Rfam family "Bacterial large subunit ribosomal RNA", at positions 1970 to 2594 of the family's 2925-position model. Lineage: Eukaryota; Metazoa; Chordata; Lepidosauria; Squamata; Anolidae. The record is from RNAcentral.